Non-coding RNA from Dermacentor albipictus, 393 nucleotides. NCBI's taxonomy places the organism in Eukaryota, Metazoa, Arthropoda, Arachnida, Ixodida, Ixodidae. The record is from RefSeq and is a predicted model, not a curated record.
UCUAGCCACUGCUCCUGGCCAAAGUAAGGCAGCGCGCUGAAGUCCCCAGACCUCCCCAGACCUCCGCAUUAUGGCUGCUUUUCGAGUCAACGCAUGUCGGUACUGCCCCCUUUCUGUUUUCAAAAAUCGUAAGAGGUCAGUCGCAGCAUGACACCCUGAGAGAGGAACCAAGGACCAGCACCCAAGCAAGCAGCAUGGCCUUGCACCAAUAGCUUUCUCCACAAUCAAGUGUCUUCAUGAUUUAGUUUUAAAGCAAAAGCCUUCAUUGAAGUAAUGCUGAGGCCACUUUGAGCUUUUUUCAGCACCAAUUUGGUUUGAUACAAAAGCUGGUUCCCUUGCACUGUAGUAUGAAGUUCGCUGUAUGAAGUUCGAAGUUUGUUUUCACGUGGCCUA